UGGUGGAGUGAUUUGUCUGGUUAAUUCCGUUAACGAACGAGACCUCAACCUACUAACUAGUUUCGCCAAUGUUUAUUGGUGGGGACUUCUUAGAGGGACUAUCGGAUACCAAGCCGAUGGAGGUAUGAGGCAAUAACA
RNAcentral lists this ribosomal RNA (138 nucleotides) under uncultured eukaryote. Its description in RNAcentral is "partial 18S ribosomal RNA". It matches the Rfam family "Eukaryotic small subunit ribosomal RNA", at positions 1299 to 1458 of the family's 1831-position model. The record is from RNAcentral.